AGAGUUUGAUCAUGGCUCAGAUUGAACGCUGGCGGCAGGCCUAACACAUGCAAGUCGAGCGGUAGCACAGAGAGCUUGCUCUCGGGUGACGAGCGGCGGACGGGUGAGUAAUGUCUGGGAAACUGCCUGAUGGAGGGGGAUAACUACUGGAAACGGUAGCUAAUACCGCAUAACGUCGCAAGACCAAAGUGGGGGACCUUCGGGCCUCAUGCCAUCAGAUGUGCCCAGAUGGGAUUAGCUAGUAGGUGGGGUAAUGGCUCACCUAGGCGACGAUCCCUAGCUGGUCUGAGAGGAUGACCAGCCACACUGGAACUGAGACACGGUCCAGACUCCUACGGGAGGCAGCAGUGGGGAAUAUUGCACAAUGGGCGCAAGCCUGAUGCAGCCAUGCCGCGUGUGUGAAGAAGGCCUUCGGGUUGUAAAGCACUUUCAGCGGGGAGGAAGGCGUUAAGGUUAAUAACCUUGGCGAUUGACGUUACCCGCAGAAGAAGCACCGGCUAACUCCGUGCCAGCAGCCGCGGUAAUACGGAGGGUGCAAGCGUUAAUCGGAAUUACUGGGCGUAAAGCGCACGCAGGCGGUCUGUCAAGUCGGAUGUGAAAUCCCCGGGCUCAACCUGGGAACUGCAUUCGAAACUGGCAGGCUAGAGUCUUGUAGAGGGGGGUAGAAUUCCAGGUGUAGCGGUGAAAUGCGUAGAGAUCUGGAGGAAUACCGGUGGCGAAGGCGGCCCCCUGGACAAAGACUGACGCUCAGGUGCGAAAGCGUGGGGAGCAAACAGGAUUAGAUACCCUGGUAGUCCACGCCGUAAACGAUGUCGAUUUGGAGGUUGUGCCCUUGAGGCGUGGCUUCCGGAGCUAACGCGUUAAAUCGACCGCCUGGGGAGUACGGCCGCAAGGUUAAAACUCAAAUGAAUUGACGGGGGCCCGCACAAGCGGUGGAGCAUGUGGUUUAAUUCGAUGCAACGCGAAGAACCUUACCUGGUCUUGACAUCCACAGAACUUUCCAGAGAUGGAUUGGUGCCUUCGGGAACUGUGAGACAGGUGCUGCAUGGCUGUCGUCAGCUCGUGUUGUGAAAUGUUGGGUUAAGUCCCGCAACGAGCGCAACCCUUAUCCUUUGUUGCCAGCGGUUAGGCCGGGAACUCAAAGGAGACUGCCAGUGAUAAACUGGAGGAAGGUGGGGAUGACGUCAAGUCAUCAUGGCCCUUACGACCAGGGCUACACACGUGCUACAAUGGCAUAUACAAAGAGAAGCGACCUCGCGAGAGCAAGCGGACCUCAUAAAGUAUGUCGUAGUCCGGAUUGGAGUCUGCAACUCGACUCCAUGAAGUCGGAAUCGCUAGUAAUCGUAGAUCAGAAUGCUACGGUG
This 1364-nucleotide ribosomal RNA is filed under the name Klebsiella pneumoniae MGH 70. RNAcentral describes it as "bacterial SSU rRNA". It matches the Rfam family "Bacterial small subunit ribosomal RNA", at positions 8 to 1364 of the family's 1533-position model. The record is from RNAcentral. Lineage: Bacteria; Pseudomonadati; Pseudomonadota; Gammaproteobacteria; Enterobacterales; Enterobacteriaceae.